This 336-nucleotide unclassified non-coding RNA is filed under the name soil metagenome. RNAcentral's name for it is "partial contains 5.8S ribosomal RNA, internal transcribed spacer 2, and large subunit ribosomal RNA". The stretch from base 1 to 120 matches the Rfam family "5.8S ribosomal RNA", at positions 35 to 154 of the family's 154-position model. The record is from RNAcentral.
GAUGAAGAACGUAGCGAAAUGCGAUAAGUAAUGUGAAUUGCAGAAUUCAGUGAAUCAUCGAAUCUUUGAACGCACAUUGCGCCCGCCAGUAUUCUGGCGGGCAUGCCUAUUCGAGCGUCAUUUCAACCAUCAAGCCCCCGGCUUGUGUUGGGGACCUGCGGCUGCCGCAGGCCCUGAAAAGCAGUGGCGGGCUCGCUGUCACACCGAGCGUAGUAGAUUUCAUCUCGCUCAGGGCGUGCUGCGGGUUCCGGCCGUUAAACCACCUUCAUAACCCAAGGUUGACCUCGGAUCAGGUAGGAAGACCCGCUGAACUUAAGCAUAUCAAUAAGCGGAGGA